This 579-nucleotide ribosomal RNA is filed under the name Triticum aestivum (bread wheat). RNAcentral describes it as "partial small subunit ribosomal RNA". Lineage: Eukaryota; Viridiplantae; Streptophyta; Magnoliopsida; Poales; Poaceae. The record is from RNAcentral.
AUGCUGGCGCGACUGGAUCUCGAUACUUCUAUCCACCGCCUCCACUCGUGUCAUGCUCAACGGCCACCCGGCCCCCCGAUCGAUCAUGCAUGUGGCCUCCGCCAAGGCGACCCAGUAUCCCCGAUGAUUUUCACCCUCGUCAUCGACGUCCUCAACUCCAUGCUCAUCCGGGCCGUCGAUCUCGGCCUCAUCCAACGACUGACCACGCGGCACGCGGCCUCCAGCAUCUCCCUCUAUGCCGACGACGUCGCCAUCUUCUACCGCCCUGACCACCACGACAUCUCGACCGUCCGUGAGCUUCUUCGGGUCUUUUGGGUUGCCUCUGGGCUGCACAGUAACUACCCGAAGUGCUCGGCCACCCCCAUCCAAUGCAACGACGAGGACAUCGCGACAAUCGCUUCCGAGAUGCAAUGCCCGGUGAAGCAAUUCCCAAUCCAAUAUCUGGGACUCCCCUUGUCCAUUCGCAAGCCGUCUACUACGAGUCUCAUGCCGAUCGUCCACAAGCUAGAGCGCAAGCUCUCCACAUGGCGGGCCUCGCUCCCCUUGGUGACCGGCUCGCCCUUGUCCGUCAUGUCUUAA